GGUGAAAACAGGACAACUCUGAUGAAGGCUCUGCAAUGCCAGAGGGAGGCUUGUGCAAAUAUUCUCAUAGAUUCUGGUGCUGAUCCAAAUAUUGUAGGCUGGCCACACACCACUUUUAUUGGCCAUAAGGAAAAGAAGUGAGCAAAUUGUGGAAUUUUUACUGACAAAAAAUGCAAAUGCAAUUGCAGUUGAUAAGUUUAAAUGCAUUCAUCAACAACUUUUGGAAUAUAAACAAAAGAUAUCUAAAAAUUCUCAAAAUAGUAAUCCAGAAGGAACAUCUGAAGGAACACUUGAUGAGGCUGCACCCUUGGCAGAAAGAACACCUGACACGGCUGAAAGCUUGGUGGAAAGAACACCUGAUGAAUAGGAUACAGUGAAUUCCUCUUCAAAGAUUUUAGCCUGUAAAUAUCCUUUAAAAUUCAAGAGGGGGAAGAUUAAGUACAAUGAGUUCUGAGUUCCUCAUCAAAGAACAAAUAUGUCAGUAUGUUCAGCUUCUCUGUUCUUUGUUCUCCGUUUUAAAGUUUAACUUCCUCGUUCGUUAUGCCUCCUU
RNAcentral lists this long non-coding RNA (550 nucleotides) under Homo sapiens (human). Its description in RNAcentral is "novel transcript". Lineage: Eukaryota; Metazoa; Chordata; Mammalia; Primates; Hominidae. The record is from RNAcentral.